This 501-nucleotide ribosomal RNA is filed under the name uncultured bacterium. RNAcentral describes it as "partial 16S ribosomal RNA". It matches the Rfam family "Bacterial small subunit ribosomal RNA", at positions 30 to 523 of the family's 1533-position model. The record is from RNAcentral.
AUUGAACGCUGGCGGCAGGCUUAACACAUGCAAGUCGAGCGGGGGAAGGUAGCUUGCUACCGGACCUAGCGGCGGACGGGUGAGUAAUGCUUAGGAAUCUGCCUAUUAGUGGGGGAUAACAUCUCGAAAGGGAUGCUAAUACCGCAUACGUCCUACGGGAGAAAGCAGGGGAUCUUCGGACCUUGCGCUAAUAGAUGAGCCUAAGUCGGAUUAGCUAGUUGGUGGGGUAAAGGCCUACCAAGGCGACGAUCUGUAGCGGGUCUGAGAGGAUGUUCCGCCACACUGGGACUGAGACACGGCCCAGACUCCUACGGGAGGCAGCAGUGGGGAAUAUUGGACAAUGGGGGGAACCCUGAUCCAGCCAUGCCGCGUGUGUGAAGAAGGCCUUAUGGUUGUAAAGCACUUUAAGCGAGGAGGAGGCUACUGAGACUAAUACUCUUGGAUAGUGGACGUUACUCGCAGAAUAAGCACCGGCUAACUCUGUGCCAGCCGCCGCAGUAA